UAAUUUACUAUUGUCUCUCUGCUUUGACAAGGUAAGUACUCAAGGGCGGAAUUGAUUAAACUCUGACCAAAAGAUUUGGCAUGUAUUCUCACAACAUCCUUGAACUUCUUCUGUUCUUCCAAAGUCCAUAACUUGGAAACAUCUUCUCCCAUGCUUCAAAUUUCCAUUGCCAAAAGGCAGGCCCCAGAUCAGAUUGCAGCUGGAUUUUCUUAGCAUUGAUGUGCUGUCUAACGCAUUCAACAGAUCCAGGGGAUACACAUGAACAAGACUUGGGUCUUCCUUUUCCGAUCACAUCUCCAGAGACUUCCAGGCUUCUGCCUUUAGUUGGCCAUACCUUGAUGCUUAACCACUUUGAACUGCGAGAUUUCCUGUGCAUGUUGUGCUGACCAUUCUUGUGUAGGGAAACAGGCAAAGCUGGCAGAUCAGCCUGAAAACGAGGUCCGACUGGAAUUGCGAGUCUGAGACUAUCAUCACAUAUGUACUCUAUCCAACCUUUAGGAACUGGAUCGUUCUCCUUCUGGAUAUGGAGUUCCUUUGAGGGCUUCAUUUCUUCGUCCUUCUGAAGACAAUCAACAAUGAGAAAAAUGCUCCAAAGGGACUGGCAAUCUCAAGUACUUUGUAGGUGUAGGUACACAAGCAAAUAGAUGCAAGAUGCUUGAUACUGCUAAGCACGUUCGUUAGUCUAGAUAAAAUAGGACAAUGCACAAGAUGACUCCAACGAAUUGCUAAUUUGAACUAUAGAAUUCAUGAAAAGAAUUGUGCAAGACUCAGUGCAUUCAUGCAAUAAAAGACACAUCAAGCACCAUCACCUGUCAUUAUUUUUAACCAGUAAAGCAAGGGGAAGGAACCUGUUCAAGAUGGAGAAGAUGAUAUUAGCAAGCGAAUAGCUUCUUCGGAUUGCACGAUUCCACUCUCCCAAUACUGUGUGCUGGGGAGGCUGUAAUGCUAUUGAUUAAAAUUGAUUUUAUGUCAUCGUAGGCCGCUAAAUUGUACAGAAAAGAAAUACUACUAUCAGUUAGCAAAUACUACAUGCAGACAACAGUUUUCAAAAGCACCUCAAAGACACAGAGCUAGCGAUUCAGCAAAAUAGCUUUGCCUUCCACCAAAAGAAGGCGUUGCUUUGCAUAAGCAAUUGAUUUUGGUGACGACAAUUCAUUGCUUCUCCUCCGAAAAAAAAAAGGAGAGAAAAUAGUUCAUUUAUCUUACAACACAAAAUUUCAAGAAGCCCACCAAGCUUGUACUCUGUUUAUGGAUUCCAGCCAAUAAACGGAGGCCAACAAGAUUCUAGCAUGAGAUUGAAAUUAUCUGUUACAAGAAUAUGCGGGGAAAUAAAUAAAAUCAAAUGAAAUAAAAAAAAACCUCCAUUUUGCUGGUAAUUGCCGUUUACGUUUAGAUGGUCGGAGCAAUCUUCAUUGAAAACAAGAGAAGCAAAAAUUUUGCUGAAUCGCUUAAGCUUCAAUCUACCCAUGCAUGAAUUGAAUAACACAUUUCUAGUGUUGCGAAUUCUACACAACUUGAAUUGAAUUCGAGUUAUCCAUUUACCGGUGCACCGGGAAUUAAUAUUCAAGAAAAUUUCUGAUAUAUGAAAUUAAACCCUAACCCUGGAUAUCGGCUAAACAGAGCGUCCGAACCGAUAUUAGAGGAAUUUAGGAUUCAAGAAGGAAUUGUAUUGUUUCAAUGAUUUUUUUUUGGGCUGUCAGACUGCAUAUUUUUUUCAUUUUGUUUUAAACGGAUAAAUAGUAUUUAGCAAAUUUCUUUAUUCUUAGACCAGAAAUAUCCGCAAAUAUUUCAGCUAAAAUCUCUAAAGAAUAUCCAAGGAAGAAAAUUACCAACAAAAAAAUGGUUACUAGGAUUAACUAAUUUUGAGUCAUAGAAAUUAAUUUUUUAAUUUAUAUCCAAAAAAAUUGGGAAUUUUUAUUUGUAAAACUUAAAUUCUUUUGGGAGAGGGAAAUGGAAUGCAAAUUAUGGUAAAAUGAUUGAAAGUAUAUAAAAUACCUAAAAAAAACCAAUAGAUAAGCCUCUUCUAAUGCUUUGAUCUUCUUCGACAAUUUUUAGUAAGAAACAAUUGCCUGUCUUAUGCCUCUGAUUCUUGCUAUUAAAGAUGAUACAACAACAAAUAAAUGAAGACAACUAUAAUGUGAAGGAAAAGGUGACAAAUAGCUUUUGGAGAAAAGGAAAUUGACUAGUAUAGUACUUUUCCAAAGAGUCCCUAUAAAGAAUGGAGUUUGGGAACACACACCUAUAUUGUUAUGGAGAGGUUGAACACUUAAAGAUGCAUGUUGCUCUUCUCAAGCAUAGCCCUUGCAAUAUAACAAAUGAGAGUUGUGGGAAGCUAGUUGACACAAUAUAUAGGUGGCAAGUGAGGACUUGCAUCAUCCCUCAAAGCCAAUCAACUCAAUUCUCAGGCUUUAAUAGUUCAUUUGAAUUACUAAAUGAGAUGGUAGCCCAUUAAAGAAGGGCCUUUAGAUUUACAUAGAUCCGAUCUAGAGACCUACUUAUAGACCGUGUAAUUUAGAGAAAUUCACCUAUAAGAAGUGAUUUAAAAUCACGAUAUUUUAAAUAAUAGAUGCAAAUAUAAAAUUUCUAAAAUCAAGAAGAUGAGCUAUCUUUAGUUUAUGACUGUCGCUUAAAUAGGACUUUCCAAUCGAAUAGCAUAUGGUCACAUGAUGUAUGACAAUGUAAGAAAAGUGAUAGUAAAUAUUAAAGUCUGUCUAAUGGGUGCUUAUAUCACUAAUAUUAUUUUGAAAAUUACAUACAUUAUACAAAUCAAAAUUGUCAUUGGAUAUAGGAUUUUAAAAUCUAUAAAUAAGAUAUCGAUGUAUAUCCCUAAAAUUUUAGGUAAGAGAGAAAAUAAUAGUAGGUUUUGGAGGUUAAGCAAGUAAUAUAAUACAAAAAUCCAAUUGAUUUUUUUUUAUUAUAAAAAGCAGACUUCAUUAACAAAUUAUUGAAAAUCGUCCAGCGUGAUUUGAUCUAUAUCUCUACCCUAAUGGUAGGUUAAACAUAAAAAUUACAAAUCUGCAUUUUAACAAAUGCAAUAGAUCCAAAAAAAUUAUGAACAAAUCUAAAAAAUAAAAGAAAUUUCAAAAUUGUCUCUAACAGAUAAAUCACUGUAGCUCCCUACUAUUAUUCCAAUCACUGGUUUAUUAAUCAAUGAUUUUAAACUCUAAUAAUAUGAUGCGAUCUGUCGAAUUAGAUCCAAAAUUCCAAAAAUAUUUCAGAUUUGACGACCAAAUCUGAAGUAAAUUAAGAUCUAAAAAUAAAAAAAAAGAAAAACACAAAAAUCUCCAUAGUAAUCUAUAGGAGAAUAGAAAAUUCUCACUUAGAAUUUCUAGGAGAAAUAGAAAAGCUUCAUUAAAAAAAAUUCAGGAAAGAGUUUAUUAGAAAAACAAAACAAAACAAAAUGAAAUUCAUGGGAAGGAGACCAUCACGUGAUCUCCCUCCCUAAGGGAAUGUGUUUAAGAGAGGAGGGGAAAUUGGGAAAAGUUGAAGAAGAGGAGAGGUAGAAAGAAAAGGGUUGAUUUCUGAUAAGAUAAACAGGUUUGCAAAAAUCCAAUUGAUGGUUGAGGAUUGUAUAUAAAAUUUCCAAACUAAGAAGAUGGGGGAAGGUUAAGUUGGGUGGUAAAACGGAAAAGAUUGUAAAUAUAAGGUUCUAAAUUUUCCAACAAGAAUUAUUACCAAACAAGAUGCCACUGCUCUUUAAUUUAUCAUUACAUUUCUACUCAGAAGAUUUAUUAGUUAAUGAAAUCAGCAGGCAGCGAAACAAGCAUUAGACACCUUAAGCGAAAUAAAAAAACCGGACACUCAGGUUCUUAUUCCACAUAACAAGUGUAACACACGUUCAUUGUCAAAAACUAACCCAUUGUACUUUUUAUGAUAUGAUGUAUGUGAAAUAAAAAGAUAAUUGAAAAUUGUGUUAAUGAUACAAGUAGGAUAAUAUUUGCAAAUUUUUUUCCAAAUUAUAUUGUCCAAACAAGACUAUCACAUUUAAGCUCCUUUAGAUGUCAGCAAAUGCCUAAGACAGGUAUAUCCGCUCAAUUUCUUUGAGAACUAUGCCCAAGUUUCAAUUGCUUUUCCGUAUCAAAUCUCCAACUACUGUAUAAUUUGAGCAUACUUUGCAAGGGACUAUAUUCUAGGCUCUCCCUUGUAAACAUUUCUACACAUAUUUGACCUGUUACCACUAAGAACGUUCAACUUAACAUGGAGCUGAGCAAUCUGUCCAAAAUAAUUCCACAUUUCUUCUAUGUUUCUCUAUUACAAUUAAAUUUUUAUGUUGAUUGAGAGAUCUCAGAAUCAUACUAUGCUGAGAAAAGUUGUUAACCUUCUUGAUGCAUAAACUAAAGCAGAUAUCUGCUCUAAAAUGAAAUUAUGUAAGAUAUACUGCAAAAGGAUUAAGUAUACAUACUUAUAAGCUUCAUCGACUCUUGCCUGAGCAUCUAUGUAGCUUGGAAAAUCAUAACCAACCAGGAAAUAAUCACCACGACCAUAACCUGAGUUUCCCUCCAAUGACUCGAGGAGUGGGUUGUAAUCAUAGCUUCCAAAUGCUCCAGACCUAAUAAAUUGUUUUGCUUCUUCAAAGCGAGGAUCUGGUUUGAACUGCACAGCAGAUAAAUAUUAAACUAAAAGUUGGUUUCUUCUCGAUAUAUUCUUAACAUGAUCUUAAGGAACCAAAUUAGACGUACCAUGACAUGAUGCUACUAUAGUAUCGUGUCUAAAGAUUCAGAACCAAAGUGAGUUACAUUCAGAGGUAAGCACUGAACGGUAGGAGAAUAUAAUGGAAGAGAUGAUCUUGGAAACCAAUUUUGAAUUGACCAGGAAAAACAGACACUCAGGCAGGACAUGUAUUUCAUGUGCUAGGAUUUUUUUUUUUUUUUUACCAAGAAAAGAAUGAAAAGAUACUUUGUUCUUGAUAGUCAUUAAAUAAUCAGGCUUGGACCCUGUACGUUCAUAUUAGCUGUUCAGACCCUGUGGCCAAUGAAAUGGUCAAGACCUCAUCAUCUUUGUUUCUUUUAUUUUUAUUUUUAUUUUUUCUUGGACCAUUAAUUGCAAAGAGAAACAUUAAGAAUGACAAAAAUUAGCCCAGUGCUUUUCACAACAUAAUGCAAAGAGUUCUUCAUUCUUUAGGACAAAGAUAUUUAGUAAGUUACCAAGCCAUGCAUCAUCAUAUUUACAGACAGAAUAAAGCUUCCCAAUGCACAGAGAGAGAGAGAGAGAGAAUUUUUUAUCCUCAACCGAGGACCUAACAGUACCUGGAAACUGUAAAGCAUUAAUCUGGCUACAAAUAAGGAAGAAUUAGAUACCAGACAGGAAAUUGCUGCAUCAUACCAGUCCAUUCUCUCUUUCUUUGCGCAACCGAGGGACUUCUUCUGCUCUUGCACCAAAAAGGAAAAAAUUCUCUUCACCAAUUUCCUCUCUGAUUUCCACAUUAGCACCAUCUAGUGUUCCUAUAAUGAGGCAUCCAUUCAGUGCAAAUUUCAUGUUGCUUGUCCCACUUGCUUCCAUGCCAGCUGUACUGAUGUGUUGAGAUAAUUCACUUCCUGGGAUAAGCAUCUCUGCCACAGAGACGUUAUAAUUGGGGACAAAAACCACCUGAAACGAAUGGUAAAAGAAGUCAGAUUAGUUGAAGAUGAAGUUUAUAGCAAGCAAAAAAUGGAAACAAAAAAGAAAUAUUAUGUAUAGAGUAAAUCUUGAAUAUUCUUGAGCAACAAGAAGUUAAUUUUUGGGAACCACUCCAUUUCACCAAUACUUCCCAUAAACUUCUACCAUGUUGUAUUUUUCCCUAAGCAUGACAAUCCAGUGCUUUUUCCCCCAUAUUCUGAAUGAUUAAUGAGAAGGUGUAAGUGACAAGAAGCAGCCCUGACAGCCAGAUGCAGCAGUAGCAAUCCACUAGUAUAUUAAAAAAAACCUAAUAGAUUCCAAUCAAGUUCAAAUGACAGUUUUAGCUAUGAAAGUCAACAAGACAUUCAAAUUGUCAAUAGUCAAAGUCUGAAAAAGAAAUUCCAAGCAUUGUUUUACUAUCUUCAGUUCAAUACAUUAAAGCUGAGGCAAUAUCAACUGAUCAAGGUACUCCUAUUUAUUCACGAGUACUUCACUGACAAUGAGUAUGUUUCUCCAAAUUCUUCUUUUAUAUUCUUUUAACAGGUAAGGAGAAUUUUAAGAAGGCAUCCAACCAGAAAGGAACUUCCCUAUAAGAUAUUCUAAAAAUUCAUAAAAGUAGUUAACAGAGUAAAAUUGGAAUAAAGGAAAGUGAUAAUGUGAGAGAUGGUCAAGGCAAGUCACACAAGGCGAAAAGAAUAGGUAGUGGUGAAUGAUUUCAUCUCAACAAUAUUAGGUGCCACAGCUUGAACCAACUGUUGGACUAGAAAUGGUAUAAGAACUACAUAUCCAUGAAAAAAGUCCAACUUAAAGUAAAUCUGCACUGGAGAUGUCUAAUGAACUGUUUUACCUUCAAAUAACUAUUGACUUCAGGAUCGCUGUUCACAACAGCACCAACAUCAUUUACUAGCUUAACAAUUCUUUUGGCAUUUGCGUAUGUUGCAAAUGCUUUUCCCCCAAUCAUGACAGUGCGUGGUGUAACCUUUUGCCGUUCUUCAGGGCUCAUCUCCUGGAAUAGAUCAAUUUCAAGAAAUCAUGGUGUAUACUAACAUGUGAUGCACAUAAAAAGUCAAAAGAUUGCAAUACACUGGAGCCACAAUUCAAUCAUUUCUAGGUUGACUACGAAAUCUCCAUUGGUGUUGGAUCACCAUAUAUACUCUUGAAAGAUAUUUCAUACAGGUAUGAUUCAUUGUUUUGGAAGUGAUGAUACUUCCAGAAGAAAACGAGAAUAGAGUCCAGAAGACAAUGAUAGUUAAUACGUUACGGGUUAGUAUUUUUAACAAUUAUGUAAUAAACAUUGUUAACAUCAUUUUUUCCAUAAUCGGAUGAGAUUCCAAUGAACAAAUAACAAAGAGCCAAUAAGCAAUGAUAACCGUAUGAAAGAUCAACUUAAGGUCUUGAUUUAGAAACCUUCAAUUGCUAAUAAAUGUAUUGCAUAUUGAAACACCUAAGGAGAUUAGGAAGUCUACAAUACCUUUAUUUUCUUGUACCUAUAGACUGUCCCCAAAAUGUUUAGCAGCUGUCUUUUGUAUUCAUGAAUGCGUUUAACUUGUAUGUCAAAAAGGGUAUUAGGAUCAAUGCUGACACUUGUCACUUGCAUUAUGUAUUGCGCUAAACGUUGCUUGUUGGCCAUCUUAGCUGAUUCCCACUCAGCAUACAGUUCUUCAUUGUCAACAAACUAUUUGAAGAGAAGGAAACAAUAUAGAAAAGAGUCAGUAAAAAUGCCACUAUGUCGAAGCAAGGUCUUUAAUAAUAAAUAAUUGCAAGUAAAAAUGCCACCAUGUCAAAGCAAGGUCUUUAAUGGGAGAAAAAAUGCCACUAUGUCAAAGCAAGUUUCUUGACGUACCUGCCGAAGUUUGGUGAGGAGAUCGAGGUUAGUCACCCAUUUAUCAGUUUUUAACCAUUUGGUUAUUAUUUGACUAAGCUCAGGACUACAAAACCGAAGCCACCGGCGAGGAGUAAUCCCAUUAGUCUUGUUUUGGAAUUUGGUAGGCCAUAUAGAGACAUAAUCAGCAAAUAAGUCUGAUUUUAAGAUGUCACUGUGUAGUUGUGCAACACCAUUCACCUGAGAGAUAUGGAAACUAAAGGUGAAAAUCUUCUAGAACAGAAGAAAUGAAAAUUUAAGAGACUUAUAAAAGAGUAUAAAAUAAGUAAAAGCCAUGGAAGCAAAUCAACAAUGAUAGGAGGAGAUGACAGUGACAGACACAGAUUAUUGAUGAAUUCAGAUUAGUUGUUGUCAGGGAAGUAUAGCUCGGAAUUUUACCAAUAAGCUAGUAGUUAAAGUAAACCAGUAAUUAGCGCACACUUUAGGUGUGUGCCUCUUAUCAUAUCAUUGUAAUAAAAUAAAAGACAUAUAGUAGAAGCCGAUGCAUUUCUCAAAUUAUCAUGCUAUCUAACUUCUGUGACCAACUAUAUAGGAGUUAGGUUCACCAAUUAGAGAACACCAUACUGAACUUAAACAUUUACUCUCAUCUUGACGAAAGUCACAAGGAUAGUUAUCAAGCUGAGGGUAAAUUUUGCAAAUCAAAAGUGAUGCCAAAGUCUCUUCCCCCUUUAUAAAGAGUCAGAUUAAAAGCUGAAAACAAAAGAAUAGUUGUUUAAUUAUUCCCUCAGGUAUAUUCGGGCCUUUGACAUUUGGAUAUCACAAGAUAAUCGUUAAAGAUAGGAGAUGUGAUAUCCAUUCCACUUAGACAUGUUUCUUACCAUAUGGGAGGACACCACACACAAGUUAGCCAUUCGUACAACUGGCUUUUGGGGGUUGUGGUCCAAGAUUCGGAUGCUGGAAAGUUUAGUCUCAAGGUCAGGUCUUGUUGACUGCACCGUUGCAAUAAACUGCAAGGAGUUCAAGACUGCAAGUUAUUUCAACAUCAAUCUAACAAGAAAGUAGCAAUAAAUGAAGGUGAGUGAACAGAUUACCCUCUUAUCAAUUUCCUCAAUAAUUUCCAUAAGGCGGGGAAGGAGCUUCCACAUGACUGCCUGUGACCAUUUCUCCAGAGCCUCAGGUAGGACUGUAUGAUUUGUAUAGGCUAUUGUCCUAAAUUAAAAUGGUUUAUAACUCAAAUCUGUGAAUUUUCACAAACAGCUCCUUAAAAAGAACCAGAGAAAACAAGUUCCACAGAGUACUCAAAAAUGAUUUAUGUGUGUGCUCAUAAUCAGAAUGAUGGUAGUGAUUGUCGAAGGUUUUGGUUUAUGAUACACUUUUUAAAAGGUGAAGUUCAAUAUAUUUUAUCUAGUUGUUCAAAUGCUUAUCCAUGAUUGCUGGUUUAGUUUUUGCUUCUUCCUUUAUUUCUUUUGUGGUACAUGUUUGGCUCACUUUGCAGUCGAUAGUUAGCUUCUGAAUUGUCCCUUAAGCUUAUUCAUGAUGACAGAGGCAACUAAGAAACUUGGAUGGAACGAAGACAACUGAAAUAUGCAAAACCACCUUGUAGUAAUAUCCCAAGCAUCAUCCCAUCCAAGUCCUUCCUCAUCCAUUAGUAAUCGCAUUAGCUCUGGAAUUGCAAGAGUAGGAUGUGUGUCAUUAAGUUGCACAGCAACCUUUGUGGGAAAUUCGGACCACUGGAGUACACCCUUUCCCACUUGUCUCUCCCUAAAUCUGAACAUGAUGUCCUGAAACAGGAUGAAAUGAAAUAAGUUCUUCACUAAUCAUAAAAAGAAACUUUGCUUAAAAAGAAACUGUCUCUCCUCAAAAAGAAACUUUGCUUGUUUGUUGCUGAAAGCCUAAAGCAUUUUAUUAGGUAUUCCAGUCUCCUUUACGUGUAAAUAUCACAGAGUUUAGGCAUGUUUACUGAAUAGAGGUUUCACUGAACAUAAAAAACUUAAGGUUUGGAAUCAUCAAUAUCCCAAGGCAAAUAUCCUUUUAACCUUUGACAUGCACCGCUUCUAGACUGAACUGUAUAGGCGCCCACCAUGGAAAGAAAAGGAAAAGAGGAAAAUACACCAAGGAAUAUGGCAAACCUGAAGUGAAGCACUGCAAAGGAAAAACUGUUGCUUAAGUCUUAACAAUUUUCCACUUUCUGUAGCAUCCCCAGGAUAAAGAACAGCACAUAUCUGCAAAUACAUGACGUAAGGAUGCCACAGAGAACCAACCGACAGAACAAAUUAAUAUAUAAACCAACAGAAAGUCUGAGAUUGAAUUUUGGAAGUCGAAUCUGGAUUUCCUUUAAGCGACCAGAUGAUUGGCAAUUAAAGUCUUUGCUUGAUCUGAUAACUAACUUUAUUAAGAGUACAAGGGUAAGCCAACCUGUUGAGCCCUAGCAUGGAGCUGUGCAGCAGAUUCAUACUGCCCAUCAUUGAACUGAAACAAGUUGAAGUCCUCAGCACAGGCUUUGGCUUCCCAAAGGCGAAGACUGUUAGUAUUCUUGGUCUUGUACCCUGGAAUUGGUACAUCAUAGGCAACAGCUUGAAUGACCUCUCCACCAACCCAUUUGCGGCUACAAACCGGACAAAGAAUUAAAAGAAAUGAUAAACCAUAUGAAUAACACUAUGAAUGAGAACGAAAAUCCAAUCUGGAAGUUGUGCUAUUGAACUUUUAGUCAACACAUACAGAAGUUAAAGUUGCACAUACAGAAGUUGCACUUACGAGCCAGUAGGAAGGACCUCAACGUGACCAAAAAAUCUGAUGGGGAAUACAACAUCAUGCCUGACAAUCUCCCAUGGACUAAAUUUCUGCAUAAAUUUGUACCAGAUGAAACCCUAUAGGAGUCCCACGACUAAAGAAUGAGUAUGACAGUAGAAAAAGACAAACCUCCAACCAAUCUUCGGCAAUUUCCUCCUGACCUCCUUUGCUGAUCCGCUGCUUAAAAAGCCCAUAUCUGUACCUCAAACCAUAACCCCAAGCUGGCAAGUUCAAUGUCGCCAUUGAGUCUAGAAAGCACGAAGCAAGUCUUCCUAAGCCACCAUUUCCAAGUGCUGCAUCUUUCUCCUACAAUAUACAAUUUUAAGAAUUGCAUUGGAAAUACAUCAUGCUAGGUUUAAGCCAAUAACAAAAGUUAGAAUGAAAUAGACUUGUAUCAACUUUAGUAUUUAAAGAAUGUUCACUGAUCCAAUUGGAAACGAAAAAUAAUUGUAAGAACACCUAAAUAAAUGGCUAUGCAGCAUUGCACACUGUCAGAUCCCAACUGACGAAGUAAAGAGAAUGUGAAAAGGUUCUUAAAGUGGAACUACCUGCUCAACGAUUUCCUCUAGUUCAUGACCCAAUUUCUUCAAAGCAUCAGAAUAAGCAUCUUGGAUAUCAAGGUUUCCAAUUGCGUUAGUCAAAGCUCGCCCUUGCAGAUACUCCAUGGACAAAUAGUAUGUUUGCUUUGGGUUGACUUUGUGAUAAUGGAGGUACGUAUCAUUCCAUUGCUGUGGGGGUAAACAACAAACAGUAAAAAGAAAAAUUAGAGUGGGUGAAACUUGUGAAAAAAGUACAAAGCAGACUCUAGCAUUAAGAACAUGCACAACAAUUUGCAAGCCACAAAAAGAACACUUUUACCAAGCAAAGCACUUGUAUGAUGAAAUGGAACCAGAUACACCAAGAGAUGAGCUCAAUGCAUGAAGGUGUUCAUUGAGUUUGAAAAUGCAAUUCUUUUCAAGUCAUACACUAGCAAAUGAACUCCGCAAAAAUCUUUCCUUCUAUACAUGACUCCGUAACGAGUGCGGGUAUGUACAUCGCACAGGGCCGGCAAGUCCACUUCAAAGAUGAAUAGACAACGCAAAUCAACCUUGGGCACAUGCCACACAUUCUGGAGAAUAAUCACUGCUAUAUCUACAACAAAUUACAGAGCAGUAUAGCAAAUUUGCCACAAAAAGGAGCAAAAUUGCUUACAAGCUUCCAAAUAGACCGCAUGAGCAAGUACAUGCAUAAGGUAGAUAAUUAACAACAUUGGAUAUGCUAACAAAGCAAAGACGUCACCAUCUUCAGUCGCUAGUCAAAUCCAAACAUACAAUCAACAAAUGAUUCAACAAAGGCAAACCGAAAAAACAAAAUUUACAACGGCAAUUCAAAUUCUAUACCUUGAUCAACCGAUCACGAACACUAUCAGCAGUGGCAUAGAAAGCUUGCUCUGGCUCGAACUUGAAAGGGGAGAAAUGAGGACUGUAUUGAGCAUGAUAGAUGAUAUUGGACGCAAUCUCCGUAGCCUCUCCGGCCAGCGGCUGCGCAACCGCAGGUACUUCCGCUGGAAUUCCUGAUUUUAUGGUUUCAUUACCGCUUGAUGUUGCCGGCACUUCCAUAUCUGGUCCUAUUAUCAGCAGAAACUUCUUCUAUAGACCAAAAAAAAAAAAAAUCAAAAUCCAAACAAUUGAAUCGUACUCCCAGAAUCAAGCCAUAAGAAUGAAAAAUUAACUCCUACUGAGAAGAAAAAUGCAGAAGUGAGAUUCUGAAACACAUUGUCCAUGUGAAUAUUUCGUUAAUUAAUGAAAAAAACUGGUAAAAUAUCAAUAACAUGACAUGAUUACCUAAUCUGUGUUGAGACUUGAGAACGGUGCUACUGCUGAAGAGGAAGCGAAAUAUGAGUGCCUGUUAAGUUUCAAUAAUAUUUGAGUGAAGGUUCGGGAGAUAUUUUGGACAAAGUUCUAAAAAGAGAAUGGGAGAGAUGGUAGGGGUGCGGGCGGGGGAAUAUGCUACUAUCAUGCAACUCAUCAAUUUGGAGAUAUUAAAGGGAAAUCUGACAAACAAACAAAUGGAAAUGCGAAAAAAGUACGGUCUCUUGUUUGUUUUCUAGUUAGGAAAGAAGAGAAAAAAAAUAUCUGGAAAAGUGCUUAUGUGUGCGAGAGAGAAAGAGUGAGUUGCAGUUUGUAUACUUUGCUUGCAUCAUCAUCACCCCCGGCGUCGCAUUCAUGUCAUAUCGCACGGGAAUCGGCGGAGGAGAAGAGAGUGAUUGGACGGCUUCGGCGGCUGAAGAAGUGUGCUGGAGGCAACCGUUUUCUAGUGUUUUCGAGUGUGAAUUUGCUGGGGCUCUAAAUAUCCAACACAGUCUAGUAUAGUACCACUAGUAAACUUAUCAUCUUACAAUUAUGGGUUUGUUGGUACCUUGCUUGAGAUAGCCAGACAACAAAAAAGAACGAGAGAAGAAGAAAGAGAAUAAAAGAGCGGAAUUGAGAUGGGUGAUGGGACAAGGCCACGUGUGGUUCAUGCAUAAAAAGUAAACUGGAAGGCGCUCUUCGCUCGCCUCGAGACUCCACAAUACAACUGGAUUCUCACGCAUUCGUCGUGACACCGGGAGCAAUCUAGAGCCAGACAGCCCCCCCCCCCCCCCCCCCCCCCCCUUUUUUUUGUGAAAAUUACGCUUAUAAGUGAAUUCAAGUUUACUUUUAACCAGUAGGGAUGAUCAUUUUCUCGAAUCUCGCUGUGGAUGUAAAAAAUUUAUGGAUGAAUAAUUUAUAAAAAUAAUCUAUAAUUUCAAGAGGCAUACUUUGAUUCGUAACAAUGACUGAAGUCAAACUCAUUCAAAUUUUUUUUAAAAAAAAAAAUUCAAAUCUCUAAGCAGUCAUGAGUAGUUCUUGAUUUUUUUUCCUUGGAUGAAUAAAAUCUGUAGUAAUCAGUAUCUGGAAUCCCGUAUAGGUCCUGCCAAUCCCUUCUUAUACCCCCCUCGACGACAUUUGCUGAAUGGUGAGUAGCAGCAGCAGUGUGAGCAAUGCUUAUGUCCUUGAAUUCCUUUCUGAUUUGCCACAAUACCUCAGCACAUCUCUUCAUGGAUGGUCUUGCCCGUCUUGAAGGGUCAAGGCAUUGCCGAGCAAGUUUGAGUACCUUUUCAACAGCCUGGUUUGAUGCUGGAUUUCUUCGUAAUCUUGGAUCCAUUACCACCGCAACUUCUCCGUCCUUUAAUUUCCUCAGAGCCUGCAAGCAAACAUCACCAUGAUAUGAUGGUUCUGAAUCGCAUGCAAAUGAUCUACUAUGAAAAUUGCAGAAGCCUAUAAUCAGGCAGAAAGCAGGUUACGUUUGUCCUGAUCUAUGAAUUCACUUACCCAUCUUACGGUUACCCUCUCAUCUGUGCUUUUGUUCGAAUCAAUGGGAUGCCUUCCUGUCAUCAUUUCCACGAGCAAUACGCCAAACGAAUAUACAUCACUUUUUUCAGUGAGUUGGUAUGUCUUGAGGUAUUCAGGAUCCAAGUAGCCAGCUGUUCCUUUAACUUGAGUGGAAAUGUGAGUUGCUGUAGGAUCCUCAGCGGCUAGCCGUGCAAAUCCAAAGUCAGCUACUUUCGCACGGUAUUUUUCCGUGAGCAGUAUGUUUGAUGCUUUAAUAUCUCUAUGGAUAAUUGGAGGCUCUGUAAUUUCAGGUUGAGCCAAAAAAUUAGGAACUGAGUAGUACUUCUAAUAAAGUCUGCAAACGAAGAUAUUAUUGUUUGCUCGCAACGUACAAACUUACCAGUGUAUGUGUGGAGAUAGGUAAUUGCAUGAGCGACAUCAGUUGCAAUGUCUAAACGUUCUGCAGUUUCAAGUCCAUCUCCCCGCGUCCCUGCAUCACAAGGUCGCUGGAUUUCAAUUUUGACACACAACUUUCCCGUGAUCAUUAUGUUUGAUGCUCUGAUGUCUCUAAUAUUCAUGCUAAAAUCGAAGAGCUAACAUAUUUGUGUUGAAAUAAAUGUAUAGGAGGCCUAUUUACAGCCAAGAUCCACGGAUAGAAAUAUAGUGUGAUUCCGGAUUCCUUAUUCAUCUCAAGAUCCCAUGAAGUAACCUGAGCUUUCUCCUUGCCACUUUACCAGUUACUACCUACCCGAGAUUCAAUAUGCAGAUUAGGAGAAAACAAAACUAAGAUUUAUUAUUCAUCAAAGCCUAACACUUGAAGAAAAAAAGGGGAUGAUCACAACAAGCAAUAAUAACAAAUCUAUCAGGACAUAACUUUUCCCCCCCUUAUAGUUGACAAUGCAUGCUAAGUUUUCCCAUAGCAAAGAAGCUCAACAAAAAUCUAUUCCAGAAUCAGCUAAUUAACGUGGAAGUUCGUGUGGACGUUAUUUAUCUCAGAAAGCAAAUGAAUGCCAUUGCAAUUCAAGUGAAAAUAUGGGGUUCGUGUUCGUGCUCUGUUGCUUCACCUACCGUCCAAGUGCUCUCUAAGGGUUCCAUUGCUGACAUAUUCAACGAUGAUUAUGCGCUCGUUUCCAUGCUCCAGGUACCCCAGAAAUCUUACCAAAUUCAGGUGCUCGAUCUUUGAUAAUGUCAAAAUUUCAUUCUUGAACUCUGCUGACAAACGUUGAUCAAAAGAUUCCUGCCAAAAUUUUCGUGUUACAUCGCAAAUUCACAGGAAAUGGCCCCUCAAGAUUUACAUUUGUUGGUGGUUAAUUCUCCUUACCAUUUUAGCGCGCUUUAUGGCGACCAUAAAUCCAUCCCAAAGCUUCGCCUUGUAAACUGUUCCGAAAGCUCCCUCACCAAUUAUAUUUGCUGAAGAAAAAUUGCCAGUUGCCUUCGAUAUCUCAUUAAACGAAGUUUGAAGUGAACCAAUCUGUAUAAUAUUGUCAUUGGAAGACUCGCGAGAGUAGGAGUAUUUUGUUCUUGAUGAAGAUUUACUAGUGCUUCCAGUAGAAUCAUCUAUUGAAUCUGCAGAACGUCAAGAACCAACCCAAAAAAAAAAAAGGUUAAUUCAUGCCACUUCCAUGCAAAAGUGGAUUGACAAUAUAGUGAGAUGUAUCAAAAUCCCGUCAUGUAAUAAGUAUAAGCUUAUCGGUAACCUCAAUAUCAGAAUCUGCUUCUUGAUUUACUUUUGUAUUCUAGUAUAUGCUCAUGCCAGACCAUUGUCCAACUUGGGGGCAAAUGAAGAUACAUAGAUCAAUGCCAAGAUGGCAUGCUGGGAAAGAUUUACUCACCGGACAAUCCUGUAACAGCACGUUUUACUUUGUUGGCUUUAGUUUGAUCAGCGGUGGAGUUGACCUCCCUCUUCCAAAAGAGAAGCGCAGCAAGAACUCCAGCCACUCUCUUGCUGGCAGCUCUGAUGAAGCUGGAUGUAGAUCGAGACUUCUGAUUCGUUGCAGAAGUCUGAUUGCUAAUUGCACUGGUGUGGGAACGGGGACUGGGACUCUCUUUUCUGAUUUGGCACCGACGGAUGAUCAGAGGACUCGGAGUUUUCAUCCUAUGCAGAGACGGAGACCCUUCUGGCAGGACAAUCUUUGACUCAUCAUUCUCUAAAACUUUAACCACUAGCGAUGACACCGUCUUGCUAAAUGCCCUCUAGCCGUAGAUUCAGGACUGAUUCAAACAUUGUGUUAAUUGGUACUCGAAGAUGGAAAGAGUAAAACAGAGACACUGUCAACUGCUGGAUGGAUUACUUGUCUGAAGUAGAAUGUCGAUAAUACGGAAAAUUUUGUCUGAAUAAUAAGUUCAACUUGUUCAGAUCAAUCAUUACUGGUACGCGUGUGUGUGUCUAUAUAUAUUUAUAUGUAUAUAUAUAUAUAUAUAUAUAUAUAGCUGCACAAGAGCUCAAGGUUGUUUUGGUUUUGGCCGUGGCAUGGAGCCAUGACUAGUUUGAUAAUGGUUAGAAAAGAUAGUCAAAAUAGACACGGUAUACAGGAUGCAAAAAAAGAACAAGGUGCAGAAAACCGGUGGCAACAAUCAACUAUUGAACCCUUUUCAUCUUGCUCACACGAGUUUUACUCUCAUUUACACGAGCAACUGGUGUUCAAAUGGUGUAUUAUUUGAAAUAAGGAAUCAUUUCAAAAACCUCUCCUGAGAUUUCUGAUAAUUUCAACUAGCCUUUCUUGAAGUUAGUAAAAUUACACAAACCUCCCCUGAGGUUAAGAUUUUGAUAACAAAAUUAGUCCAAUUAAAAAAAGUAACAUUAAAAAAGUACUUUAAGAAGAGAGAUGAAACUUUUAUUCCAUAAAUACCCCUUAUGCAUGUAUAUAAGUUGUAUUAGUAAAAGGAUGAAAAGAUUUAAAAAUUAGAAACAAUUAAUACGCAUAUCUCACUAUUCAAAAAAUUCACAUUUAAUAAAUUAGACAACACAAAUAAGCAACAAAACUACACUAAUGAAUACAACAUUUAACAAAAACAAACUAGUCAUCUUUUUUGACAUAAUAUUUGUUACGAUUCUUAUGAUCUUUAACAGAAAAUUUUUUCAAAAUUUACCUUUCUUUUCCCUCAUUUCUCCUUUAUGAAUAUCUAAUGAUUAAGUAAUUAGAGUACUAAUUAACUAAUAGUAACUAAUUAGGUGAAAUAACUGUUGAAAAUUUCUUUAAUGAUGAAUGAUGACUUGUAAUUACAAAAUAACAUCAAUUGAUAUACCUUAUGACAUUAUCUUGUGAUUGAUAUAAUUUGACAAUAACUAGAAAUCAGUUGUAUAUAAUGUGAGAAGAAGGAAUUUGGUAGAAGAGAAAAUUGUUCAUGAGGAUAUUUUCUUUAAAACUCUUAAAGUUGUGAUAGUUCUAAAAUAAUUUCAUGGAAGUAAAAGAGAAAUAAGAGGGAAAAAGGCAAAAUUUGAAAAUUUUUCUAUUUAAAAUCACAAGAAUCAUAACAAACAUCAUGUUAAAAGAGAUGAUUAAUCUGUUUUGCUGAAUUUUGUGAUAAUUAGUGUAAUUUUAUUAUUAAUUUGUGAUGUCGAAUUUAUUAAAUGUGUGCUUUUUGAGUGGUAAAAUAUAUUUAUUAAUUAUUUCUAACUUGUAAUUAUUUUUAUUCUUUUAUUAAUACAACUUAUAUACAUACAUAAUAGGUAUUUAUGAAAUAAAAGUUUCAUCUCUCUCCUUAAAAUACUUCUUUAGUGUUAUUUUUUCUAAUUGGACUAAUUUUGUUAUCAAAACCUUAAUCUCAUGGGAGGUUUUGUAUAAUUUUACAAACUUCAGGAGAGACCAGUGAAAUUGUCAAAAACCUCAGGAGAGGUUUCUGAAAUUAUCCCUUGAAAUAAUUUCAGUAACUUUUUGCUAUUUGAUGUAUAUAAAGUAAAAGAGUAGUUGAAAAUAUAAAAAAAAAAAAUUAAAAACAUAUUUAUAAUACAAGUAAAAUAAUAUUUAAAAUAAUUUAUAUAUCCAAAACUCCAAACACACCCCUUGUUUUUGUCAAAAGCCAAAAUUCUAGCACGGCAAUCCCUGUUUAGAAACAAAUAAUUCAAUAAUCAUAGAGGCAGAGUUCGAGCCAGGAAAGGCCAUCCUCCGUCUUCCUCAAUCCGAGAACAAAGAUUCGAAGAAACCAAUACAUUUGCCACCACAUUAGUGUUUAAGCAAAUUGCUUUGUCAGAUUGUUUUACGAAAAUUGAAAUUGCAAAUCCAAAACAUUAGUAGAGAGCCAUCCGAGAUUGUUACAAGUUAGCCAACAUUGGUAAGCGUUUUAAGCAAACAGCGGCACUCUCCAUGCUGAUGGACACUGCAAAAAUACAUUGGAUUUUCCGUACUGCAGGGACCGCUGGAUCAGCAUCCUAUUUAUACAAGGCAAUCAGAAUUUUACAAAUUUGGGACUUUCGUUGGCCAAAAAGUACCUUCCCGGCUUCCCAGUUCCCACAGUACUGCAUCCAAGAAACCAAAAGAACUUGCUAGAUUGAAAACGUUCGUUAAUAUCCUUGACCCUUUCUCGUUUCUAUAAACUACUUUACAAAGAUGAUGCGAGCAAACAGGAAACUAUCAGAAAUACAGACAUCUAAAGAGUUUCAUCAAAAUUGACUCUCCCCCCUGUGGCGAAAAAGUUCCAAAAGAGAGCAGCCGAGAAAUAGAGAAAAGCUGUAAGCAACAAGAAUCCCUUAAAAGAACCCACUAAUUCCACGAAGUAGCCGGCACCAACCGUUCCAACUAUAGCAGCAAAUGUACCAGCAGUAUUUGAUAUACCUAGAGUUUACAGAAGGGACAGAAUUAGGUAAAGAUUUCGAACAAGAAAAUUUCAUGCCUGAUUUUCAUAAAUUAAAGGAAUAAACGAGGUUUGAAGAUAUUAACAGGGAUCUUCUUUUUUAUGUUCAUUGAAGUGUUGAAAGGGGAGGGAGGCUGGCCUUGUAUACUGAGGUUAUACUCCCAUGUAGACAAUAAAUUAGAUAUCGGUAUGUAGAACUAGGAGAUUAAUAGUAGAGGAGAAUAAAGUUGAACGAGUACAAUGCAUAAAACUUUGCAAGAAAAUCAACAGAGUUACCAUGGAGGACGCCUGAAUACUGUGGUGCAAUCUCCUGACAAGGUAAUGGUACAAGAUAUAUCAGGUCUGAUGCAAAAAAACCAACUGAUCAAAUGAUGAAUUUCACGGAAUAUACUAACCUGGAGGUUCACGAGGAAGCCACAAUGACUGAAUGCUUUUAGCCCAACUGCUAAAGUAAGCCAAGCAGAUGCAUUGGAUGGACUUCUUGCCAUUGUUAGACCAACAAGAGCUAUCCCAGGUCCAAUAAAACCAAUUGACUGCAGAGGAAAAAUAAAACUUCAUACAUACUGUAAACUUGUCCCAUCUUGUUCCGUAAGGAAGUAAAAAAGUGAGGUCGAAUGACUAAAUACAAAUCACAUAUUGAACACCAUUAGUGACUAGCUCUAAAGAAGUCUGGUAGAAGUAGAACUGAAUUUAUCACUGAGGCGCAAACAAUAAAACUAAAAAAAAAGUAGAAUUUGAGAAAAAGGGAAGAAAAUAAAAAAGGAAAAGAGCAUAAGACCAGGAACAAUGGUCCAUCAAAACAAAGUUUCCAAUUAACUAGGGUAAAUGAAAUUUGAAAAAUGACUCAGCCAAGAUUUUUGGCUGAGGACAAUAUUCUUUUUAUUUUCUCCCUCGAUUGUUCCAUGUGAUUACUUUUGUACCAGCAAACCCCACAAUAUCAGAGGGACAAAAGACAUACUGAUCAUAUAUAAACAAUCACAUGCAUAGCCUUUAUCCCGACUUAAAUUCAAACUUUUUUUUUUUAAAUUUUCCCAAACUUAAAUUCAAAAUCUAGUAAAUCUGUUUCUUUAUAAAUAGCAUUUCCCAUAUACAAAUUACAUAAUUGCAAAGGCCAUUACUAGAGACAUCCUAAACUCAUUUCUCUACUGUCCACGUGAAAAUUCAUUGGAGUCUAUAAAAUGACUGUCAUACAUUUUGGUGAUAAAGAAAGGGAAAGAAAGAUAAAAGACAUGUCUUGGAACUUACAAGGACAAAGAGUAAAUCGAGUUAGUUAUUUCAACAAUAUAUAUAGCCAAUUGGAAAUUGAUAAAAUUGCCAUACUUGCAUGAUUUUGCGGGUUAAUGUCACACUUAUGCCUCUCUGAAUCAUCAUGUCUGACAAGACACCAGCAAAGUAACCUGCCACGGCCAUCAUGCUCCAAGGAACAGCACUAAACCAUGCUGCUUGUCUUAAAUCAACAUGAUAUAUCUACAAGUAAAAGAGAAACUUUUGAUUUCCUAUCUUCAGAUGCAUAAUGUUAUUUAUCGCAUGUCAUGUACAGACAUAGUUUUUUACCGUCUUGAAAUAAAUGGGCAUCCAUGAAAGUAUAACGAAAAAUCCCUGCAUGAGGUAAAAAAAAAAAAGGUAAAUGAUUUCGUAAAGGACACAGACUACAGACUAUAGAGCAGGCGAAGAAUGUCUUUUCCACCAAAAUGCACCUAUAAACAGCCCAUAAAGAUAUGUGACAAUAGUGGAACACAAAUUCAUCUCUCCAAUUUCAAAGUUCGGACUAACCUUCUCUCAAUUUUCUAAAAGACCCAAUAAUCUCACAACUUGCUCCGAAAAUCUUCAGAACUUAAAACAAUGCUUUCUAAUUAUCAAAUAACCAAUUUCCCAAUUAAAGAGUAUCAUUUGAUCUCUCAAAGAACACCUUGUUCUCCUACCCAGUACCAUCAAAGUGGUAACUUUUAAUUCAAUUAUGAGACACACACAAAAUCACCUUUUUGUUUAACCAAUUUUCAGGAUUAACCAAUCAAAGAUACUAGUUCAAAGACAACAGAAAGUUGAUGCAGUGCAUAAAUUACCCAGCUGUGCAUUGCAUUUGCAACAAUCAGAGUCCAUGUUGGUAGCUUAGAAAGCAAGCGCUUAAAUGGAGGGAUAACUUUGCUUUUCUUUGAUUUAUCCUUUAUGACAGAUUGCAUGUUCCCGUCAUUCUGUAUGUACUGCAACUCAUAUGCUGAUAUUUGAUGGCAUUUGUCCGGGGUGCUUGAGGUUGCAGAUAUCCAGACCAAAACCCAGAGAAACCCAGACAAUCCAAAUAUAACAAAUGGACCAUACAAACCACCCUGAGACAUGAGAAUGGGAGAAAGUGUGAGUCCAAUAGCACUUCCAAGCUGGAAUCCCGCCAUUGCAAGUCCAACAGCUCUUGAUCGUUCUGUUUGAGGAAACCAUCUAAAAUCAAAGGUUCAGAGAUACCCUUAGCAGUUUGGACAUGCCAAAUCUUCAACACAAUAAACUUGACAAAGAAUAUAUCAUGUAAAUCAUGAUAAUUAUGGAUUCAAUUUCAUAAAUUGCAUACCUUGCAAUCAUGUUGUUCAUGCAUGGAAGAGCUACCCCUUCUGCAAUGCCAAGCAACAUCCUCAUAGCAAGAAGUGCGCACAAGGAAUUUUCUGCAGCCCAGGGGGUGAGAAAGGUGGCUAAUGACCAUAAAGUGACACCCCAAGCCAUGACAACUUUGCCCCCGUAAAGGUCCACCAAAGUUCCUCCAGCUAUUGGCGAUAUUAGGUAUCCCCAGAGAAAAGAUGACUGCCAUUAGUAAGUAAAUUAAUGAGAUAGCCUAUAAUGUUUAGAAGCUGUUUUUAAAACAGAUCUUGAGCCACUCACUGUACUCCUUUUUGUCAAAGAACAAGGUUUCUUUACCAAUGUGAUUGAAUUUCACUCCUAAGUGGGUCCAACUGUCCUUUUAUUCUCCAUUUAACAGUUAGAUGAUCACUUCAAAAGAUCCUACAGAAAUGUAAUGCUCACGUUCUCAAGCAAGACAGGGAAACAAACAAAUGGCACUUGACAUCCUGUUUCCAGCAUUCAAAUAUAUGCCAUUGAAAACUUAAUAAUCUAUCUCUAUAUGCGCAUUUAAAUUCAGCAGGAGAAUUUGUAUACAAGUGGUAUGGACAGAUAUCCAUUGGUUUUAUUCUUUAAGAAACAAAAGGAUCCAAAAGCUUGAGUCACAAGAACAAGAACCACAACAUGACAAAGACAGGUUAUUUAGGCAAAUAGACAAAAGUAAAUGCUGAUAUCUCUUGAACUCCUGGAAAACAUUACUGGGAUUUAGAAAAACCAACAGACACAAAAUGCUGCAAGAAUUUUCACCUUAAAAAUGAAAUACUAUCUUCAAGGUGAAGAACUCCAAUCAUAUGCAAAUAUGACUUACAAAUCAGCUUGUAUGUUCUGAUGUAAAGUCAAUUCCAGUAAAUAUGAAACACUAAUCACAGUCUGCUUUUUUUACGUCAAAUCCUCUUGUUCUCGAGUAAAUAGCAAAACAGCAAAAAGGUAGAAUGACUUGAGCACAAUCGCCAGAAAUACAAAGAUUGCUACCUUCCACGCAAAAUAAAUGUUGUUUUUUAUUUUUAUUAUUAUUCUCUUAUGUGGCCUUUUUCUGUUUAUAGUUCAUAACAUCAUCAUAUAGUUGACCUUUGUAUUCAAAGGCAUUCUCUAGGACAAAUAUCCAGAAUAAAUUUUCUAUAAUAGUAAGACCAACAUAUCCCGCAUGCAAACGCUCUCAAAUUCCAAGAGCUAAUAUUCAAAAAUGCUGGAUCACAUACUCAGCAGUUAGGCUAAAUGAACCCUUUUCUACCAUUCCGCUUUAUUUAAGGUUCAUACUUUCUUUCGAAUUCCAAGAGUUAAUCUUCAAAAAGGCCAAAUCACAUACUUUGGGAUUAGGCCAAAUGAACCUUUUCUUCCAUUCCGGCUUUAUUCAAGGCUCAUACUUUCUCCAAGUUCAAAAGAAUAAAUACAUUUCUUCAAGAAACAUUGACAUUUUUAUUCCAGUUGUGGGUUGAGAUGAAUAGGCAGGAAAACAUCACCCCAUUUCAUGUUGAACAGUUAUUUAGAAAUGUUAGGAAACACCACAACAGUAAUCCAAAGCUAAGUCAGGAAAAUAAAACAACGAUAUAGCAGUCAUAAUUUUUUUUAAAAAAAAUUACCUGGACAACCCCGGCGAAAGAUUGACGCCAGCCAUGAGAAAGCGAGAGGGGAACGAUAGCGACCGACAUGACGACUCGGUCAGCAUUACAAAGUGCCAAAGCUAAAGCCAGCAUAGCCACCACCUUGACUCUCUCGGAAGUAAUAAACUCCACCGCAGUCGGCUGACGGAAUUCGCCUCCGCUGCUACUGGAAAUCGACCUAGAACCAUUCGACGAAGAAGCCCUAAUCGGUAGAAUCCGUUCACUUCGAAGUCUAGAAGAAAAUUCAGUUGCACAAGCAGUGCUGGUUUUACUCCACCAAUUACGAUGGUUCAAUUUACAGGGAAGCUUAGAAGCACUAGAAUUAGUUAAUGGCAGUUGCCUUUCCGAAGGUUUAGGGGUUUGAGGGCUCUUAAUCGGGGUUGGGCUGCUGACGGGAAGCGGGCGGCGGAGAGCAGCCGGAGAAUUCAUUCUGCAAUUGGGUCCAAGUCAGCAAUUUAUACGAAAUCCAUUCCCUGAGUUGGGCGACAUACUCGGUGUUGAACUAAAUUCGAGUAAUCUAUCAAGUGAACACUAGUGAUCAGGAACAUAGGCUGCCGCCUGAAAUACUACUCCUUAAUACUGGAACCUAAAGUCGAAAUAGCACAACAGUUCUGCUACUCCUACGUAGCGACGAAAAUGCCGUGGUGUUCUUCUUGGCAGUUUAUUAAUGGCUAAGCUAAAGACCAUAGCAGGAAUCUUAUAAAGUUUUGGCUUUAGAUAAAUCGAGCAGAGAAGGAACCUGUAGACUAGUAAAUAAGGAUGAGACUAGCUCAUUGGCACGAGUCUGAUGUUUAUCUUCUGGGCUUGAAAGUUGGUACUGCUACUAUUAUUGUUGAUGCGUUCGGUUCGCAUUGUCGAAUCUAAUAAUAGAGUGUGAUUCACCUUACAUGUUUGGUUUAAGGGUUCGUUUGGGAGUGGAUGAUUUGGAGAGAAAAGAAAGGGAAAGAAGAGAAAGUGAACAUUUCCUUCGUUUGUUAGUUUUAACUAGGAAAGAAAAGAAGAGAAAUGGAAGGAUUCAAGAAGAUAAAUAGUAAGUAAAAUUUUUCCUCCCAAAUUGGAGAGAAAGUUGGAGAAAGCUUAUGAGAGUUUUUUAAAAUACCUAUUUUAUCCUUAAAAAUGUCUUGAACAAAUAUUUAAUGACUUUUAUAUCCAAAAUCAUUCCACUAAUUCUCAAAACUCCCAAACAACAUAACAAUCCCUUCUCUUCUCUCAUAACUUAAGUUUUCCUUUCUUCUCUUUUCUAUCCUAAACUCCCAAACUUAGCAAGAGUAAAUAGAUUCUAUUUUUAUUAACAAAAAAUUAAUUUGAAACCCGAUCUAUGAGACGGGAAUGAUUCCGCACGUCAAUCAAAUAAAUUAUAGGUGCAGUUAUAUCAUUAUUAACUUUGAUGCGUAUUCCUGUCCCUUGAACUAAAUUUCCAAACAUUUUUUGUUAACUUUGGACAAAGGAUUAGCUUUGAAGGAAUAGGAAGGUACGGAGAGGAAAGAAAAAGAAAUGAAAUGGAUGAAUAAAGUUUUUGAUGUUUGGAUUAAUCUUUUGAGAGGGAAAGAAAAGAAUAGGGAGAGAUGAGAUCUCCUUAAUUUUUGUCGCCCAACUUUCUGCUUCCUUUUCUUUUCCACUAAAGUCCUCUCACUUUUCCUUCCUUCCCUCCCCUUCAAUUCAAAUGGUGCCUAAUGCACUCUGUCUUUCUUUUCUUUUAUCUUUUGUAUUUUGCAAAGAUGUCAGGGAACAAUUUUAGAAUGUACUAAAUAAUUGAAAGAAAGCAAGAAAGUCGUAAAACUCAAGUAUUAAAAUUUUAAUUUCAUGCAUUAAACUAAUAAGUAACAGGAAGUAAAGAUUAUGAUUCCUAUUAAAAAUAUUUUAUUCAAUGAAAAUUAUACAUUCAUCAUACAAAAUAACUUCAACACAAAGGCAUUUAAUACGAGAUUGGGAGAGUAUAUUACUAGACUUUGAUGUUCUACUUGUAGCCAGCAAUCAGAGCAGGUAGUGCAAGAUUAAAAGUUGCUAGCUUCGUAGCACCUAUUACUUGAUACAUAUGGCCAUCUAGAUCAAUCACCGGGGUCGGCGCAAUAGCCAUGAGAGCUCUCAGAGUUCUCUUGGCUGUCAAGUUCAAAAUUCCACACACUUGAGAUUGAGAAGAAUGUUUGAGAAGAAUGUGAGAAGGGGUGGGAGGUCAAAAAGGAUAUAUAAUAAUAAUAAUAAUAAUUCCAGCUUGAGCUUCUUAUUCCAGUUGUAGCAAAAUUUUGCUAAAACCAUGACUCGUUUGUUGCACUGUUAUCAUGAUCACAUCCAAUUAUUUUCAGAAUCCGAUCCAGUGCCUUGUCAAAUUACUCUGUAAUGACAAAUUUCAAGAUACAAGUGCAAUCAUCUCUUUGGUAAGAUAAACAAUUCGUCAUCAGCUGCUCUAUCUGACUCUGGAUGAUUAUACCAACCACUAAUCCAGUUCCAACAUUAAAGCAGAAGCAGUUAGCAGACGAAUAACUACUUCCUUUCCCCGUGUUUCAAAUAGUGCAGAGACCAUUGAACCCCUUCCCCUUCUGUAGAGUCAGCGGCAUUAAGUUCGGAAAACUUCCGAACAAAUUACAGCUCGUUCCAUUCAAUGUGCAGAAGAGCUUCGGUAGAAUGGGAACUCUCCAGGCAUCGAAGCAAACAAUUAAUCCUGGAAAAUCUUAGUGAUCUCAAAGUCUAUCUGUAUGUCCAGCUAGAAUUCACUCCAGACUUCCCAUUUGUCUGGUAUCUCGUUCCAGAAGAAUAUCUUCCAGUUCCAUCUACAGAAAUAGAAAAAGCCGCUACCCCAUGACCUACUAAUUUGAGAAGGUAGCAAAAGGUUCAGCUUUUCACCGUAUGUCCAUACUGUCCCUGGCUAUAAUCCUACAAUGUGAAGCUGAAGUUAUGAAACCAUAAUUUUCUCCAAAUAUCAAACCGUAGAUUCUAUGAUACAUAAUGACAUAGAAAAUCAACAGCCACAGUUGAUACCUGCAGGAGACAAUCUUCAGGCAACCUAUGAAACCCUAGGGAGCCUCAUGGCAUGUUUUUUCUGGUGGCAAACUUACACUCUGUUGGUGCAAUUGUCACAAUCGGAAUAUAUUCAGCCAACAUCACUGCUGAAAAUUAAGAAUGAAGCAUCAAAAGAUUUCAGUCAACCGUGAACCCACUUCGACUUAAUUAUAUCAGAAAUUACCGCCCAAGUGUGCUGUCUUACUAACCAAACAACCGCAGUCUAUGUCACAAACUCCAUUAGACAGGCUGAUACAACAGAAGUAUACAUCUUACACUGGUUGCAAUCACUCUACAAAGCCACUAUCCUUCACAGUUGAUGCUUUGGGAGAAAAGUUCAUCACCAAUUACCUAUUUUUUUUCCAGCAAUCUGACUCUCCAAGUACAGGAAUACAAAGCUCGGUGUCUGUUGCAGACAUCCUUCUCAGGAUUCCACAAUUACUUCUGCCUUUGUACACUGUUCCUGUGGUUACUGUUGUCACUUGCAGCUCAUUGUUUUUAGCUGACAGUGUACUCUAGAUACUGCUAAUUUAAUUCCAAUGUAUGAAGAUUAAAUUAAUUUUACUUGAUGUGCAAUACCACCAAGUGACCAUUUGAAAGAUUAGAUUUCUUGUGCUAUCCACAGGUCAGGUAUGUGAGCUCACCAAUUAAACAGAGUUAAUAACAAUAGAUGAAUUUGGCAUUGUUUCUUCUGCUCUGAAGUUUGACCAUGCAUCAAACACAAUAACACAUACAGCAGAUUCAAAAUUCAAGUAUAUUUAACAACUAGAUGCAAACUUGUAGGAAGAUCUGUACAUAAGCACAAAAGGCAACUAAAACUUAAAAGAUUUAAAUCUCCACCAGUUUCUUUCAAAUUUCAAAAUGAACGCUUAUUGCUAACAUGCAAUUAUAAAUUUCAUUAUCUAAGUAGAAACAUGUCCCUGAUGUCAAAAUAAAAGUUUCUGCAUGUAUUACAUACAUCCAGUGAUCAUAACAUCACAUUUUGCUUGCAUGUUUACCAAACAGUGAAUGUCGGCCUUCGGCAAUAAGCUCUCCUGUUAAUUUGUUCCUCACGAUCACAAGCGUUCCAGAAUAACCACCUUUUCGACCUAAAAGUGUCGAGACAAUCUCCAAUUCAUCCUGAGAAAGUAAGAUAUUCAACUAAUCAAGUUAAAAACCAACAUUUGCCAAUCAAACAAUUUCACUUUUAGCCAAUAUGUGACGCACAAAACCGAUUAGCCCCUGAUCUGGUAAUAACAAGAAUACCCUCUCUUUUUUUCCCAAUUUGCAAUAAAAAUACCAAUAUAUUGGAUCGAUAGCCCUUAUCGAGUUAUCAAACAAUCCUGCUUAAUAACGAAGAGAUUUAUUAACGCACAAAUGAAAGUAUUAUUAACUAAAACCAGAAUAUCUGGAUUACUCGUUCAUUAACAUGAACAUUAGAUAUUCCAACAUGGAAAUUGAAAUCAUUUGAGGAGGGCUUACAUCAAGUUUGGCAGUUGAGAGGUAAGAAAUGGACAUAUCCACUGAAACAUUCAUGGGGAGUCCUUCCACGUGGACCAAAGCACCACCCAUUUCAUCCACUAGGUUGGCCACCGCCCCUGAUGCCAAAUUUCCAUUCCUAUCCUGAACGAAGACCCACAAAAAUAAAUAAAUAAAAUGACUGAAAAAGGUUCACAAAUUUUAGUCAAAAUUCAAAUAGAAAAUAAAAUACCUACAUAAUCAGUUGAAACUACUCAAAGAACUCAGCUGUAAUUUUGCUAAUAUCUCAAAAUACAGGGAACUUUACUUACGAUGAGGCGAGAAGGGACUUUGAAAGUGCAAGAAACGUAGCCAGCUUCGACUCGGUCGACUCGGAUACCGCGAAGGGCGUAAUACUCGUAGAAGCUAGAAUCGAGAUGGGGUCGGUGAGGAGGGAAGGUGAGUUGGGAUACGCGGUCGGACUCUUCCUUGGCUAGCUGAAGAGAUUCCCUGGCGUUCUCCAUUUUGGGUCCUAUCUGAGCUCUGGCAGGAGUAUGGCAUACGAGUCCAUGAUUGUCUUCAAUAUAACGCAAUCACCCGAUUUGCUAGUCAAGGCCGUCCGAAGGCGCCGUUUGGAUUGAGGAAAAUAAAACGAAAUGAAGGGAAUGGGCAUCAGUGGGAAAAAAAAAAGGGUACAGGAAAGCCGUUUCUGGCUAAUAAAUGAAAGAAAUUGUAAAGUUUUUGCUUAGAUUAAGGAAGAAACGAAAAGAAAGAAAAACAUCAACUGUUACCGAACACAAAACUAUAUCCCAACAAAAUAAUUAGACUAUUUCCCUCCUCAGAAAUCAACAUAAAUUAAAAAAAAGAAAAGAAAAAACUAAUCCCCUCCAAUUCCUUUCGUUUUCUUUCCCUCCCAUUACCUCAAUCGAGAUUAUGCCAAAGUUUACAAGGUUUCUAGAAUUAUAAAAAACGAUGUUAUAAAAACAGAUUGACGGAUUGCAUCCUUCACGUGGUGUAUUGCUAAUUAAUCAUUUAAUAGUGAUUAGUCGUUGACAGACUAUUGAUAUUAGUAAUGUAUAUUGAACAUCUAAAAUUUUCCCUCUUAUUCAAUAUUUUUAUUUAUUAUUGGAUUAACUUUUUAUGUACUGACGGUUUAGUAAAAUUUUUUUUACACCAACGAAUAUGAAUGUAUAUCAUAUGUGCAUUAUUUGAAUUUUAAAAUUGAAUUCAUUAGCAUUUGACAUGUUUAAACCUACUAGUGUAAAAAAAAAAAUUGUACACCGAUAAUAUACGAAAAACUUUUACUCUUUUAUAUUUUUCCGAUUUGUUGGUUUUUCGACAUUAGUUGACCCUAUCAUUGGACAACACAGUUUCUACGUUGUCUCUCCCACUCUUCUCUUUUCAUCCCCAAAUAUCUUAUCCAUUUUUUUCCCAUUCAACCGCUUAGCCAAGUAAUUAAAAGUGCCAAUUUUCUAUGGGUCUGUCAAACAAGGGAGUAGGCAUUGGUUAAGAGAGAAUUUAUUUGUUGAUAUUUUAAUGUAACAUAAUAAUUAUUAGUAUGUGUAUUUAUAUAUGAUAAAUUAAAUAUAAUUUAAGUGUACUAACAAAUGCUACAUUAGAAAAAUCCGUCUUUUAUUUCUUUCCCUCUCUAGUGUUGUUAAGGUUGGUGUAAAUAAUAUAAUGGAUGGGAUGAAUAUCUGUGGUUUUUUUCCUAAGAAAAAAGCCAAUAUUAUUGGCAUCAAUAUUCCCCCUCCAACUCUUGACCGGUUUUAAAGUAGUACUACUUCUUUACCCAUAAAUUCUAGCUAAAGCUAUCUUCCCACAUUUCGUUGAUGUGGACCAAAGGUUAAGUUGUCCUUAAUAUCAAAUAUUAAUUAAAAGGAUUAAAAGAGGGAAGGUAGAGACAGGUGAGUUGUUGGGUGGUAUGCUGAGAACAUUAAUUACUCGUUGCGAAAUGUUAGCCAAGCAAUAAAUCAAGGAGAAGUUUCUGUUUCCCAAAAAGAAAAGGAAAACAUUAGUAAGACUAAACAGAGAUGAAUGUUAUUUGCACUCUAUUUUUUGUUAUUUGCAUUCUCAUAAUUUGUUUUAUAAUAUAGUUUAAUAAAUGAAAACUAUAUGAUAAAAAUAAUAGUGUAAAUGUGAUUAUCAAAAAUAAAUCAAGGGAAUUGAUGUUUCGAACUCCCUAUUUAGUUUCUUGCACUCCAAAUCACUCACUAAAAAUAGUCUUUAAAGAGUGCUAGAGGCUAAUUAAGAAGUGCAAAUAUUACUUUUCUAAAUCAAAGGUAUGUACUAUUUAAAAUGUAGUUUAGGUGUUAAAAUUUUGAAAAAAUAAAAUUAAUUAGAAUUAUGCACAAAAUGCAAGAGAGGAUGAUGAUUAUCGAUGCUUAUUCGCAUAAUUUGUUAAGUGUGAUUUAAAUGUAUUACUCCCUCCGUCCCACUUUGAUAGUCCUGUGUUCCUUUUUCAUCUGUUCUAAAUUGUAGUCAACUUUCCAAUUGAAGAAUGUAGUUGUAUUUUAAUUUUCCUAAAAUACCCUUAUUCAAUGUAAGUUGUCGUUACUAUAAACCUACCACAUUUAAUGAGAGUUGACUCUUUUUUUACCAUCAAUUCAAGUUCUCAUAAAAUUGUACUCUAUUUAAUGUGAUGAUAUUUUAGGAAAAUAGCAAUCUAAAUUUACUUUUCCAACAAAGUUAACUACUUUUUCUUAAAUUGUGUGAAAAAAGAAACAAGACUAUUAAAGUGGGACGGAGAGAGUAAUUAGUAUUCAAUAAACACUCAUUAGAAAAAUCUAUAAAAUCAAUACUUAAAAAAAAAAAAAAAAAAAUCAGUGUGCAAAUCCCAAGCCCCAAAGGCAGCACAAGGGAACCCCGGAUUGAGUGAGUGAGGGUUUAUCGAAGGAAAGGCCCAGCGUCUGUCUGUUCACACUUAGUCAUCCAUUCGUCUUCGGAUACCUUGUCUUGCAACUCUGCCAUUCUCGUUUUCUGCACUGUUACUUAUCACAGUACCACUACUGUCACCACACCUCUUAAUCUUGUUUUCUUCCAUACUUCUUCACACCAUUUCCGCCCCUGUUUGCAGCUCCACCUUCUAAAAAAUGAACCCAUUUCGGAUCACCCAUUUCCAAAUCCAAUGACUCGUAAUAAACCCGAAUUUCAAGCCCAUCCACCUCGUACCCGCCGCCUUUCCUCAUGUCACCUCCACCCGGCUGAUCCGGCCACCGGCAUUUGCGCUUCUUGCUUACGCGAGCGCCUCUGCGGCCUCGACUCUUCCGCUGACCUCCUCGAACCCUCUUUUUCUGCUGCAGUCAUCCCGUCUCUCGGCAAUGGCGACCUCGCCGGAGCUGGACCAGUUAAUUGCCUGAACAAAGCUGCAGCCGCCACGUCGUCUCCGGAGUUGCGCCGUUGUAGGUCUGUUUUUACUGCUAAAUGCGAAGCUUCCACCAGCUUCGCCGAGCCCAGGCGCAGGUCCUGCGACGUUAGGGCUCGAAACGUGAAAAGUCUGGCCCAUCUGUUUGAUGUGGACGAUGAAUGUAGUAAUGGAUCUAACAGGGAGUCCAAGGUUGAAUCCAAGAAUAUUACCACGGCUGCUGCUGCUGAGUUCGGAGAAGAAAUUAAAGUAGAAAAUGCAGGAGGAAACAGGGAUCCCCAUGUUGCAUUCAAUGGGGACGAGGAGGAGGAGAAGGAGGAUGAUUUGGAAGAAGGAGAGGUCAAGACGAUGAAAGAACACAUAGAUCUAGAACUGCAGAGCAAGGGCCAGAGGUCGAAAGAUUUUAAGGAAUUAGCUGGAAAUAUAAGGGAGGCAGCUUCUGUUUUCAGCAAGAAAUUGCAAAAAUGGAAGCAGAAGCAGAAGAAAAAGGUUCUUUAUAGCAAUGAUGGAGGCACUGUUGAUGGGAUUAAUUGUGAAGUAAAUGGUCCAAAAGGGAAGAAAUUGGAGGAAACUCAGUCUGUGGCUGCGGAUUAUGCAAUGGGCAGGAGAUCUUGUGAUACAGAGCCUAGGUUUUCUGUUGAUGCUGGGAGAUUGUCUGUGGAGGGCGGGCGCUUUUCGAUUGAUGAGCCGAGAGCUUCUUGGGAUGGGUAUUUGAUCGCUAGGACUAUUCCCAGGCUUGCUCCGAUGUUGUCAGUUGUGGACAAUGCGAUUUUAAGUGGCGGAAAUAGGAUUGAUCAUCAUAGAGUAUCUGUUGACGGGCAAAUGCAUUCGAUAAUGGAAGAUGAGACCAGUUCUGGAGGGUCAGCUCAGUCUAAUUCGGAUUCCUCGUCUUCUCAAAGGCGAAGUAGUUUUGAUAGGUCAAGCUCUGUUAGGAGUUUUGGGAAGAAGAUGGCGGUAUUGGAUGGGGAUUAUGCGAAGGCCUCUCCUGGAAGGCUGGUAAUUACGGAGAGGGAAUUGAAAGAUUGGCAUUUGAAUUCGAUCAAAGAUGAUCACAAGAAGAAAUUUGAAUCUUCUUCCAGGGAGAACUCUCCUGCUCUUGAAGAUAGAAGUAAUUUGGGGUCAAAGAAGCCUGUUAGGUGGCGAAGGGUGUUGAACGUGUUUGGUUUCAAGCAAAAGUCCUGUGAAAACAAGUUUGAAAAACCAAUGGGGGAUUGUUCACCUGCUCAGGCUUGUGAGAAGCAAGAAAAGGAGGCUGGUGAAGAAAUCAAAGCUGCCACUCAUUGGAAGCUUAUGAGGAGCAGUAGCAUUGUUGGUGCAAGACGUUCUUGUGAGGUGAUCAGGUCAAGUAAUGGUAUGAUGAGUCUUGGUGAUGAUUCUGACUGGGCCAACAGGAGCCGGGAAGAAUUUGUGCUGGGACGAAAUCACCGAGCUACAUAUGCUUCAAGCAAUUUGGAUGAUGGUGUUUUACCAUUUUAUUUGACACCCUUGAGGACUUCCAGGAACGGGAAAUCGAGAAGGGACAAGCUGCAAGACUCACAUUUUGUUGAUGGGAGUCUUUUACGGCUCAACUGAAUAUUAAAAUUUCUGAGUGCGCAUUGAGUUAAUACUAUGACUUUGUAAGGAUUACUAGUUGUUUCUCUUCUUGUUUAUGGGUGAUAGCAAGGCAGGACCAGCAUGUUGUAACUCUACUGUUUUUAGGCAGUAUCCAUGACAUAAUAAUACGAGUUACAGCAUUUUUGUGUCUUGGUUUUCCACAUGUUUGUUCCUUUUCAUUGUUGGGCUCUUAUUAUGCCUAAGAAAUAGUGAAAGUUACCAGCAGCAAUAUGUGCUUUGAUGACAUUUGUUAUUGUGUAAGAAUUACUCGGUACUAUAGAUAUCUAAAGUGCUCUUAUCAGCAGCCUCCGAUCCCCAAUUAUGGUGGCGCAAAUUUCCGGAGAAGUGCAGGUUCAGUGGCUUAUUCAGCCCCCUACUAUAUUGCAUCCCCCAUACUAAUGAAAAUUUUGCUUUCGAGGACAAAUUACAAUAGGCAUUUAUACAGAUGGAUUAAAAAAAUGUAGAUCUAGUGGAGGCGCGAGACUCGACUCAAAUAAAGAUUCGCAAUUUGCGCUUCUUGGCACCGGUUCUAAUGAAAAUCCAACUUGUUCUCCCCCAUACUAAUGAAUGAGAGUCAGAUAUAGCUUUCGAAAUUAAGCCUUUAAAAUGGCACAAUCGCCUUUCAGCUGAGACAUCAAAACGCACAACAACAAACAAGUUGAUAGAUAUGAAUGAACUUUACAUGCCUUCAAGAAAACUGAGUUUGGAAAACCUAGUCCUGCUUCAGCUAUUAUACUAUCUACAAACAAAGGAUGAACUCCACACACAAGGGCAUGGGGUGUCAUAAGAUCAGAAAGUUGCUUAUUGCAGCAUCAUCUUCGACCCAUCAGGUAUUUGGUCUUCACAUAUUUGGAAAUACUUGAGGUAACAUGAUUGGCCUGGAGCCGCUUUCUAGAUCCCUUGGCAGGAGGAGUCUCUUCCGAUUCAUCAUCUGUGUCAAUCCUUGAAGAGCCCAACCUGGUUUGUUUAGCUAUUCGCCGUAGAAUAUGUACAUUUAAGUAGUAAUUUACUAUUGUCUCUCUGCUUUGACAAGGUAAGUACUCAAGGGCGGAAUUGAUUAAACUCUGACCAAAAGAUUUGGCAUGUAUUCUCACAACAUCCUUGAACUUCUUCUGUUCUUCCAAAGUCCAUAACUUGGAAACAUCUUCUCCCAUGCUUUCAAAUUUCCAUUGCCAAAAGGCAGGCCCCAGAUCAGAUUGCAGCUGGAUUUUCUUAGCAUUGAUGUGCUGUCUAACGCAUUCAACAGAUCCAGGGGAUAC
RNAcentral lists this long non-coding RNA (33179 nucleotides) under Coffea arabica (coffee). RNAcentral describes it as "long non-coding RNA (CARA_LNC000762)". Lineage: Eukaryota; Viridiplantae; Streptophyta; Magnoliopsida; Gentianales; Rubiaceae. The record is from RNAcentral.